CUUAACUGGGAGAGGCCGUUCAAUACUGCAGGGCUGGAGGGCAGGAGAGGGAGGUAGAAUUCCCGGUGUAGUGGUGAAAUGCGUAGAUAUCGGGAGGAAUACCAGUGGCGAAGGCGGCCUCCUGGCCUGCUCCUGACACUAAGACGCGAAAGCUAGGGGAGCGAACGGGAUUAGAAACCCCGGUAGUCCUAGCUGUAAACGAUGGAUGCUGGGUGUCGGUGGUAUUGACCCCAUCGGUGCCGAAGCCAACGCGUUAAGCAUCCCACCUGGGGACUACGGCCGCAAGGUUAAAACUCAAAGGAAUUGACGGGACCCUGCACAAGCAGCGGAGCGUGUGGUUUAAUUCGAUGCUACGCGAAGAACCUUACCCGGGUUUGACAUGCAGGUAGUAGUGAAGCGAAAGCGGAACGACCCUUCGGGGAGCCUGCACAGGUGCUGCAUGGCUGUCGUCAGCUCGUGCCGUGAGGUGUUAGGUUAAGUCCUGUAACGAGCGCAACCCCUAUCGUCAGUUACAUGUGUCUGGCGAGACUGCCGGCCGUAAGCCGGAGGAAGGCGGGGAUGAUGUCAAGUCAGCAUGGCCUUUAUAUCCGGGGCUACACACACGCUACAAUGGCCGGUACAAUGGGUCGCCAAGCCGCGAGGCGGAGCCAAUCCAUAAAGCCGGUCUCAGUUCGGAUUGCAGGCUGCAACCCGCCUGCAUGAAGUC
Molecule: ribosomal RNA, 706 nt
Filed under: uncultured Chloroflexota bacterium
Lineage: Bacteria; Bacillati; Chloroflexota
Description: bacterial SSU rRNA
Rfam family: Bacterial small subunit ribosomal RNA
Source: RNAcentral